This 1450-nucleotide ribosomal RNA is filed under the name Salmonella enterica. RNAcentral describes it as "partial 23S ribosomal RNA". It matches the Rfam family "Bacterial large subunit ribosomal RNA", at positions 881 to 2312 of the family's 2925-position model. The record is from RNAcentral. Lineage: Bacteria; Pseudomonadati; Pseudomonadota; Gammaproteobacteria; Enterobacterales; Enterobacteriaceae.
CUCGUGAAUUCAUCUCCGGGGGUAGAGCACUGUUUCGGCUAGGGGGCCAUCCCGGCUUACCAACCCGAUGCAAACUGCGAAUACCGGAGAAUGUUAUCACGGGAGACACACGGCGGGUGCUAACGUCCGUCGUGAAGAGGGAAACAACCCAGACCGCCAGCUAAGGUCCCAAAGUCAUGGUUAAGUGGGAAACGAUGUGGGAAGGCCCAGACAGCCAGGAUGUUGGCUUAGAAGCAGCCAUCAUUUAAAGAAAGCGUAAUAGCUCACUGGUCGAGUCGGCCUGCGCGGAAGAUGUAACGGGGCUAAACCAUGCACCGAAGCUGCGGCAGCGACACUGUGUGUUGUUGGGUAGGGGAGCGUUCUGUAAGCCUGUGAAGGUGUGUCGUGAGGCAUGCUGGAGGUAUCAGAAGUGCGAAUGCUGACAUAAGUAACGAUAAAGCGGGUGAAAAGCCCGCUCGCCGGAAGACCAAGGGUUCCUGUCCAACGUUAAUCGGGGCAGGGUGAGUCGACCCCUAAGGCGAGGCCGAAAGGCGUAGUCGAUGGGAAACGGGUUAAUAUUCCCGUACUUGGUGUUACUGCGAAGGGGGGACGGAGAAGGCUAUGUUGGCCGGGCGACGGUUGUCCCGGUUUAAGCGUGUAGGUGUGUGUUCCAGGUAAAUCCGGUUCACUUUAACACUGAGGCGUGACGACGAGGCACUACGGUGCUGAAGCAACAAAUGCCCUGCUUCCAGGAAAAGCCUCUAAGCAUCAGGUAACAUCAAAUCGUACCCCAAACCGACACAGGUGGUCAGGUAGAGAAUACCAAGGCGCUUGAGAGAACUCGGGUGAAGGAACUAGGCAAAAUGGUGCCGUAACUUCGGGAGAAGGCACGCUGACACGUAGGUGAAGUGAUUUACUCAUGGAGCUGAAGUCAGUCGAAGAUACCAGCUGGCUGCAACUGUUUAUUAAAAACACAGCACUGUGCAAACACGAAAGUGGACGUAUACGGUGUGACGCCUGCCCGGUGCCGGAAGGUUAAUUGAUGGGGUCAGCGCAAGCGAAGCUCCUGAUCGAAGCCCCGGUAAACGGCGGCCGUAACUAUAACGGUCCUAAGGUAGCGAAAUUCCUUGUCGGGUAAGUUCCGACCUGCACGAAUGGCGUAAUGAUGGCCAGGCUGUCUCCACCCGAGACUCAGUGAAAUUGAACUCGCUGUGAAGAUGCAGUGUACCCGCGGCAAGACGGAAAGACCCCGUGAACCUUUACUAUAGCUUGACACUGAACAUUGAGCCUUGAUGUGUAGGAUAGGUGGGAGGCUUUGAAGUGUGGACGCCAGUCUGCAUGGAGCCGACCUUGAAAUACCACCCUUUAAUGUUUGAUGUUCUAACGUGGACCCGUUACCCGGGUUGCGGACAGUGUCUGGUGGGUAGUUUGACUGGGGCGGUCUCCUCCUAAAGAGUAACGGAGGAGCACG